AGAAAUGAUUAGCAUUGGCCAUUAUUUCUUUUCCUGAACGAUGAAAGAGCAAGUUGGGCGAAAUGGUUAUUGACAUAUUUCAAUAUCUGGUUGUCCGAGUUCCGAAAUAGUUACUCCGUUUGCUAUAGUUUUUCUAUGCUAUAUUAUCAAAUUGCAACUGGCAAAGUUACUUUGUAUGGAAUGGAAAAAUUAGUGGACAUGAAUGUCUGAAUGGUUUCUGAAACUAAUGGAAUUAUUUGAUGCACG
RNAcentral lists this unclassified non-coding RNA (246 nucleotides) under Hevea brasiliensis (rubber tree). Lineage: Eukaryota; Viridiplantae; Streptophyta; Magnoliopsida; Malpighiales; Euphorbiaceae. The record is from RNAcentral.